AUUGAACGCUGGCGGAAUGCUUUACACAUGCAAGUCGAACGGUAGAGGGGGCAACCCCUCGAGAGUGGCGAACGGGUGAGUAAUAUAUCGGAACGUGCCCAGUCGUGGGGGAUAACGUAGCGAAAGUUACGCUAAUACCGCAUACGAUCUAAGGAUGAAAGCGGGGGAUCGCAAGACCUCGCGCGAUUGGAGCGGCCGAUAUCAGAUUAGGUAGUUGGUGGGGUAAAGGCUCACCAAGCCAACGAUCUGUAGCUGGUCUGAGAGGACGACCAGCCACACUGGAACUGAGACACGGUCCAGACUCCGCCGGGAGGCAGCAGUGGGGAAUUUUGGACAAUGGACGCAAGUCUGAUCCAGCCAUUCCGCGUGCAGGAUGAAGGCCCUCGGGUUGUAAACUGCUUUUGUACGGAACGAAAAGGUCUCUCUUAAUACGGGGGGCUCAUGACGGUACCGUAAGAAUAAGCACCGGCUAACUACGUGCCAGCAGCCGCCGUAA
This 496-nucleotide ribosomal RNA is filed under the name uncultured bacterium. RNAcentral describes it as "partial 16S ribosomal RNA". It matches the Rfam family "Bacterial small subunit ribosomal RNA", at positions 30 to 523 of the family's 1533-position model. The record is from RNAcentral.